Molecule: ribosomal RNA, 460 nt
Filed under: uncultured bacterium
Lineage: Bacteria
Description: partial 16S ribosomal RNA
Rfam family: Bacterial small subunit ribosomal RNA
Source: RNAcentral
CCUACGGGAGGCAGCAGUGAGGAAUAUUGGUCAAUGGACGCAAGUCUGAACCAGCCAUGCCGCGUGCAGGAAGACGGCUCUAUGAGUGGUAAACUGCUUUUUUACGAGGGUAAACGCAGAUACGCGUAUCUGUCUGAAAGUAUCGUACGAAUAAGGAUCGGCUAACUCCGUGCCAGCAGCCGCGGUAAUACGGAGGAUUCAAGCGUUAUCCGGAUUUAUUGGGUUUAAAGGGUGCGUAGGCGGUCGGAUAAGUUAGAGGUGAAAUCCCGAGGCUCAACCUCGGAAUUGCCUCUGAUACUGUUCGGCUAGAGAGUAGUUGAGGUAGGCGGAAUGUAUGGUGUAGCGGUGAAAUGCUUAGAGAUCAGGCAGAACACCGAUUGCGAAGGCAGCUUACCAAGCUACUUCUGACGUUGAGGCACGAAAGCGUGGGGAGCAAACAGGAUUAGAUACCCGUGUAGUC